GGAUUCCCCUAGUAACUGCGAGUGAAGCGGGAAAAGCUCAAAUUUAAAAUCUGGCGGCUUUGGUCGUCCGAGUUGUAUUCUAGAGAAGCGUUUUCCGCGCUGGACCGUGUACAAGUCUCUUGGAACAGAGCGUCAUAGAGGGUGAGAAUCCCGUCUUUGACACGGACUACCAGUGCUUUGUGAUGCGCUCUCAAAGAGUCGAGUUGUUUGGGAAUGCAGCUCAAAAUGGGUGGUAAAUUCCAUCUAAAGCUAAAUAUUGGCGAGAGACCGAUAGCGAACAAGUACCGUGAGGGAAAGAUGAAAAGCACUUUGGAAAGAGAGUUAAACAGUACGUGAAAUUGCUGAAAGGGAAACGCUUGAAGUCAGUCGCGUUGGUUAGAACUCAACCAGGCUUGCUUGGUGCAUUUUCUAUUCAACGGGCCAGCAUCAGUUUUGACUGUAGGAAAAAGAUCAGAGAAAUGUGGCACCUUCGGGUGUGUUAUAGUCUUUGGUUGCAUACUAUGGUUGGGACUGAGGAUCUCAGCACGCAUCUGUUGUGCUUAGGAUGCUGGCGUAAUGGCUUUAAACGACCCGUCUUGAAACACGGACCAAGGAGUCUAACAAACCUGCGAGUGUUUGGGUGGUAAACCCGAGCGCGUAAUGAAAGUGAAAGUUGGGAUCCCUGUCGUGGGGAGCACCGACGCCCGGACCAGACCUUCUGUGACGGAUCUGCGGUAGAGCAUGUUUGUUGGGACCCGAAAGAUGGUGAACUAUGCCUGAAUAGGGUGAAGCCAGAGGAAACUCUGGUGGAGGCUCGUAGCGAUUCUGACGUGCAAAUCGAUCGUCAAAUUUGGGUAUAGGGGCGAAAGACUAAUCGAACCAUCUAGUAGCUGGU
RNAcentral lists this ribosomal RNA (874 nucleotides) under Phanerochaetella leptoderma. RNAcentral describes it as "Phanerochaete leptoderma partial large subunit ribosomal RNA". It matches the Rfam family "Eukaryotic large subunit ribosomal RNA", at positions 72 to 955 of the family's 3401-position model. The record is from RNAcentral. Lineage: Eukaryota; Fungi; Basidiomycota; Agaricomycetes; Polyporales; Irpicaceae.